UAGGGAAUUGUUCGCAAUGGGCGCAAGCCUGACGACGCAACGCCGCGUGGAGGAUGAAGAUCUUCGGGUCGUAAACUCCUUUCGAUUGGGACGAAUUCCUUGAGGGUGAACAGCCUUCGGGGUUGACGGUACCGAGAGAAGAAGCCCCGGCUAACUCCGUGCCAGCAGCCGCGGUAAUACGGGGGGGGCAAGCGUUGUUCGGAAUUACUGGGCGUAAAGGGCUCGUAGGCGGCCGACUAAGUCAGACGUGAAAUCCCUCGGCUUAACCGGGGAACUGCGUCUGAUACUGGACGGCUUGAGUUCGGGAGAGGGAUGCGGAAUUCCAGGUGUAGCGGUGAAAUGCGUAGAUAUCUGGAGGAACACCGGUGGCGAAGGCGGCAUCCUGGACCGACACUGACGCUGAUGAGCGAAAGCCAGGGGAGCAAACGGGAUUAGAUACCCCCGUAGUCC
Molecule: ribosomal RNA, 450 nt
Filed under: uncultured bacterium
Lineage: Bacteria
Description: bacterial SSU rRNA
Rfam family: Bacterial small subunit ribosomal RNA
Source: RNAcentral